This 462-nucleotide ribosomal RNA is filed under the name uncultured bacterium. Its description in RNAcentral is "bacterial SSU rRNA". It matches the Rfam family "Bacterial small subunit ribosomal RNA", at positions 28 to 507 of the family's 1533-position model. The record is from RNAcentral.
GACGAACGCUGGCGGCGUGCCUAAUACAUGCAAGUCGAACGAAGACUGUAGUAAUACUGUCUUAGUGGCGAACGGGUGAGUAACGCGUGGGUGACCUGCCCCGAAGUGUGGGAUAACAGUCCGAAAGGAUUGCUAAUACUGCAUAAUAUCCAAGAGAUUAGAUGCUUUUUGGAUUAAAGGAGUAAUUCGCUUCGGGAGGGGCCCGCGUCCCAUCAGCUAGUUGGUAAGGUAAUGGCUUACCAAGGCGAUGACGGGUAGGGGACCUGAGAGGGUGGCCCCCCACAAUGGAACUGAAACACGGUCCAUACACCUACGGGUGGCAGCAGUAGGGAAUAUUAGUAAUGGGCGAAAGCCUGAACUAGCAACGCCGCGUGUGCGAAAGAAGGCCUUCGGGUUGUAAAGCACUUUUUGAGAGGAUGAGGAAGGACGGUACUCUCAGAAUAAGUCUCGGCUAACUACGUG